RNAcentral lists this ribosomal RNA (223 nucleotides) under uncultured bacterium. RNAcentral's name for it is "partial 16S ribosomal RNA". It matches the Rfam family "Bacterial small subunit ribosomal RNA", at positions 15 to 228 of the family's 1533-position model. The record is from RNAcentral.
GAUCAUGGCUCAGGAUAAACGCUGGCGGCGCACAUAAGACAUGCAAGUCGAACGGACUUAAUCGAAAUAUUUAUAUUUUGAAGCGGUUAGUGGCGGACUGGUGAGUAACGCGUAAGGAACCUGCCUAUUAGAGGGAAUAACAGUGAGAAAUCAUUGCUGAUACCGCAUAUGCCAUAGAUAUCACAUGAUAACAGUGGUAAAGGAGCAAUCCGCUAAUAGAUGG